ACUCCUACGGGAGGCAGCAGUAAGGAAUAUUGCGCAAUGGGCGAAAGCCUGACNCAGCGACGCCGCGUGGGGGAUGAAGGUCUUCGGAUUGUAAACCCCUUUCGGGAGGGAAGAUGGAGCGAGCAAUCGUUCGGACGGUACCUCCAGAAGCAGCCACGGCCAACUUCGUGCCAGCAGCCGCGUUAAUACGAAGGUGGCAAGCGUUGUUCGGAUUCACUGGGCGUACAGGGUGUGUAGGCGGUUUGGUAAGCCUUCUGUUAAAGCUUCGGGCCCAACCCGGAAAGCGCAGAGGGUACUGCCAGGCUAGAGGGUGGGAGAGGAGCGCGGAAUUCCCG
RNAcentral lists this ribosomal RNA (335 nucleotides) under uncultured Nitrospira sp. RNAcentral's name for it is "bacterial SSU rRNA". It matches the Rfam family "Bacterial small subunit ribosomal RNA", at positions 335 to 672 of the family's 1533-position model. The record is from RNAcentral. Lineage: Bacteria; Pseudomonadati; Nitrospirota; Nitrospiria; Nitrospirales; Nitrospiraceae.